UGGGGGAUAUUGCACAAUGGGCGAAAGCCUGAUGCAGCGACGCCGCGUGGGGGAUGAAGGCCUUCGGGUUGUAAACUUCUUUUGCUCUGAACAAGGCAUGCUAAGCGGUGUGUUGAGUGUAGGGGUGGAUUAGCGCCGGCCAACUACGUGCCAGCACCGGCGGUAAUACGUAGGGCUCGAGGGUUGUCGGGAAUUCUUGGGCGUAAAGAUCAUGUAGGUGGCUGGUUGCGUCGGUCGUGAAAGCUCAUGGCUUAACUGUGGGGAUGCGGUGGGUACGGGCUGGCUUGAGCGCAGGAGGGGAGGCUGGAAUUCCUGGUGUGGCGGUGGAAUGCGCAGAUAUCAGGAGGAAUACCGGUGGCGAAUGCGGGUCUCUGGGCUGUUACUGACACUGAGGAGUGAAAGCAUGGGGAGCGAACAGU
This 419-nucleotide ribosomal RNA is filed under the name bacterium. RNAcentral's name for it is "partial 16S ribosomal RNA". It matches the Rfam family "Bacterial small subunit ribosomal RNA", at positions 355 to 776 of the family's 1533-position model. The record is from RNAcentral.